CCCGCGCCGUAUUAGCUAGUUGGUGGGGUAACGGCCUACCAAGGCGACGAUACGUAGCCGACCUGAGAGGGUGAUCGGCCACACUGGAACUGAGACACGGUCCAGACUCCUACGGGAGGCAGCAGUAGGGAAUCUUCCGCAAUGGGCGAAAGCCUGACGGAGCAACGCCGCGUGAGUGAUGAAGGUCUUCGGAUCGUAAAGCUCUGUUGUUAGGGAAGAACAAAUGUGUAAGUAACUGUGCACAUCUUGACGGUACCUAACCAGAAAGCCACGGCUAACUACGUGCCAGCAGCCGCGGUAAUACGUAGGUGGCAAGCGUUAUCCGGAAUUAUUGGGCGUAAAGCGCGCGUAGGCGGUUUUUUAAGUCUGAUGUGAAAGCCCACGGCUCAACCGUGGAGGGUCAUUGGAAACUGGAAAACUUGAGUGCAGAAGAGGAAAGUGGAAUUCCAUGUGUAGCGGUGAAAUGCGCAGAGAUAUGGAGGAACACCAGUGGCGAAGGCGGCUUUCUGGUCUGCAACUGACGCUGAUGUGCGAAAGCGUGGGGAUCAAACAGGAUUAGAUACCCUGGUAGUCCACGCCGUAAACGAUGAGUGCUAAGUGUUAGGGGGUUUCCGCCCCUUAGUGCUGCAGCUAACGCAUUAAGCACUCCGCCUGGGGAGUACGGUCGCAAGACUGAAACUCAAAGGAAUUGACGGGGACCCGCACAAGCGGUGGAGCAUGUGGUUUAAUUCGAAGCAACGCGAAGAACCUUACCAAAUCUUGACAUCCUUUGACCGCUCUAGAGAUAGAGUUUUCCUCUUCGGAGGACAAAGUGACAGGUGGUGCAUGGUUGUCGUCAGCUCGUGUCGUGAGAUGUUGGGUUAAGUCCCGCAACGAGCGCAACCCUUGAACUUAGUUGCCAUCAUUCAGUUGGGCACUCUAAGUUGACUGCCGGUGACAAACCGGAGGAAGGUGGGGAUGACGUCAAAUCAUCAUGCCCCUUAUGAUUUGGGCUACACACGUGCUACAAUGGACAAUACAAAGGGCAGCGAAACCGCGAGGUCAAGCAAAUCCCAUAAAGUUGUUCUCAGUUCGGAUUGUAGUCUGCAACUCGACUACAUGAAGCUGGAAUCGCUAGUAAUCGUAGAUCAGCAUGCUACGGUGAAUACGUUCCCGGGUCUUGUACACACCGCCCGUCACACCACGAGAGUUUGUAACACCCGAAGCCGGUGGAGUAACCAUUUUGGAGCUAGCCGUCGAAGGUGGGACAAAUGAUUGGGGUGAAGUCGUAACAAGGUAGCCGUAUCGGAAGGUGCGGCUGGAUCACCUCCUU
RNAcentral lists this ribosomal RNA (1312 nucleotides) under Staphylococcus pseudintermedius. RNAcentral describes it as "bacterial SSU rRNA". It matches the Rfam family "Bacterial small subunit ribosomal RNA", at positions 230 to 1532 of the family's 1533-position model. The record is from RNAcentral. Lineage: Bacteria; Bacillati; Bacillota; Bacilli; Caryophanales; Staphylococcaceae.